GAGGGUGUAGCUCAGUGGUAGAGUGCAUGCUUAGACAUGCAUGAGGUCCUGAGUUCACUCUCUAGUACCUCCA
This 73-nucleotide transfer RNA is filed under the name Camelus bactrianus (Bactrian camel). It matches the Rfam family "tRNA". Rfam says of the family: Transfer RNA (tRNA) molecules are approximately 80 nucleotides in length. Their secondary structure includes four short double-helical elements and three loops (D, anti-codon, and T loops). The record is from Rfam by way of RNAcentral. RNAcentral also lists the same sequence under 2 other names. Lineage: Eukaryota; Metazoa; Chordata; Mammalia; Artiodactyla; Camelidae.